RNAcentral lists this transfer RNA (74 nucleotides) under Thermoplasmata archaeon. Its description in RNAcentral is "tRNA-Arg". It matches the Rfam family "tRNA". Rfam says of the family: Transfer RNA (tRNA) molecules are approximately 80 nucleotides in length. Their secondary structure includes four short double-helical elements and three loops (D, anti-codon, and T loops). RNAcentral also lists the same sequence under 1 other name. Lineage: Archaea; Methanobacteriati; Thermoplasmatota; Thermoplasmata. The record is from RNAcentral.
GCCCGCAUAGCUCAAUCGGAUAGAGCACGGGAUUUCUAAUCCCGCGGUUGGGGGUUCGAGUCCUCCUGCGGGCG